This 421-nucleotide ribosomal RNA is filed under the name uncultured soil bacterium. Its description in RNAcentral is "bacterial SSU rRNA". It matches the Rfam family "Bacterial small subunit ribosomal RNA", at positions 26 to 496 of the family's 1533-position model. The record is from RNAcentral.
AGAACGAACGCUGGCGGCAGGCUUAACACAUGCAAGUCGAGCGCCCCGCAAGGGGAGCGGCAGACGGGUGAGUAACGCGUGGGAAUCUACCCAUCUCUACGGAACAACUCCGGGAAACUGGAGCUAAUACCGUAUACGUCCUUCGGAGAAGAUUAUCGGAGAUGGAUGAGCCCGCGUUGGAUUAGCUAGUUGGUGGGGUAAGUGGCCUACCAAUGCGACGAUCCAUAGCUGGUCUGAGAGGAUGAUCAGCCACACUGGGACUGAGACACGGCCCAGACUCCUACGGGAGGCAGCAGUGGGGAAUAGUUGGACAAGUGGGCGAAAGCCUGAUCCAGCAUGCCGCGUGAGUGAUGAGGCCUACGGUUAGUAAAGCUUCUUCGACCGGUGAAGAUAAUAGACGGUAACGGAGAAGAACGCCCGG